This is a long non-coding RNA of Diceros bicornis minor, 299 nucleotides long. RefSeq lists it as uncharacterized. The record is from RefSeq and is a predicted model, not a curated record. The transcript is spliced from 3 exons. Lineage: Eukaryota; Metazoa; Chordata; Mammalia; Perissodactyla; Rhinocerotidae.
GAAGUAUAUCCAAGGAGCCUAGUGGAUAGCCAGAAUACCAACCCCUUCCCAGUGAUAACAGGGACAUCCUUCCUCUCUUGGGGGUCAAUGGAGACCAGGUCCAUUUGGUCUAAAGUAUGGUUCAAGUCCAACGUUUCCUUGCUGAUUUUCUGUCUGGAUGAUUUAUCUAUGUCUGAAACUUGAAGAACGCCUUUCAGCAUUUCUUGUGUGGCAGGUCUAGUGGUGGUGAAUUCCCUCAGCUUCUGUUUGUUUGGGCAAGUCAUCAGUUCCCUUUCAUUUCUGAAGGAUAACUUUGGCAG